GUCCACGCCCUAAACGAUGUCUAUUAGUUGUUGGGUUUUAAUUAACUUAGUAACGAAGCUAACGCGCGAAAUAGACCGCCUGGGGAGUACGGCCGCAAGGUUAAAACUCAAAGGAAUUGACGGGGACCCGCACAAGCGGUGGAUGAUGUGGAUUAAUUCGAUGCAACGCGAAAAACCUUACCUACACUUGACAUGUCAGGAACUUUCCAGAGAUGGAUUGGUGCCCGAAAGGGAACCUGAACACAGGUGCUGCAUGGCUGUCGU
Molecule: ribosomal RNA, 264 nt
Filed under: uncultured bacterium
Lineage: Bacteria
Description: partial 16S ribosomal RNA
Rfam family: Bacterial small subunit ribosomal RNA
Source: RNAcentral